Molecule: long non-coding RNA, 451 nt
Filed under: Rattus norvegicus (Norway rat)
Lineage: Eukaryota; Metazoa; Chordata; Mammalia; Rodentia; Muridae
Description: long non-coding RNA NONRATT012695
Source: RNAcentral
CCAUCCCUAUAUCACUUCUCUAUGAAGAACAAAGUGUUAAAUUAUGUGAAUGCAGUGUGUUCAUCUUCCUUUCAUAGAUAUGUCAUAUAAUGAACACAAUCCAUGUAUGUAAAAGGGAUUUUGAAGGAAACAAUGUACCUCUGUCUAUCUAUCUAUCCAUUUAUGUAUCUAUCUAUCUCUGUCUAUCAUAUCCAUCCAUCCAUCCUUCCAUCCAUCCAUCCUUCCAUCCAUCCAUCCUUCCAUCUAUUUAUCUUUCUACCUAUCUUUCUAUCUAUGUAUCUCAAUCUUUUUCUGACACUCUCUCUCCCAUAACAAUGAGAAGAUAUAUAGUGAGUGGCUGUUAUACUAGACUGUUUCUACAUGAUAAAUGUUUUACAAUUAAUGAUUUUUCCAACUUCAUUGGCAAUACAUAUGGAACCGCAAUUUGUAAUAAAUUCUCUUGAGUACUGGG